Molecule: long non-coding RNA, 3454 nt
Filed under: Equus caballus (horse)
Lineage: Eukaryota; Metazoa; Chordata; Mammalia; Perissodactyla; Equidae
Description: lncRNA (ENSECAG00000048601.1)
Source: RNAcentral
CUUGGAAAGGCUCCAUAACUAUUCAGCGCCAUGCAGCAUGUUAAUGAACCAGGAUUCAAAUUUUCUAAUUCCAAAAGGCAGGGUACCACUUGUCUUUAAGUAGUUCAAAAUCUCUGGAUCAAGGGAAAGUGCACCUGAGGAGUCACACUUGAGGAAGCUUCUCUGCUCCUGAACCUCAUGCAGAUCAUGAGAGAAUGGACUUCAAGCCUGAUGCCAGAACGAGAAAUAACUUUCUUGUUAUACCACUGGUGCCUCUUAGAUGCUACAAUUAGAUAACAUUAACACAGUCUGGAAAGGCAACCGUUAGAACUCUAAGAUCGCAAGUGACAGCUCAUGUGUGGGGGUGGACGAGUACGGAGAUGUUAUGCAGGCAGAUGUCAAUGAGAGCACCCAGCACACCCCUGCUCUCAAACCUUUGCACUUGCUCUUUCCACUGCAUGGGCCACUCUCCAAGGGAUCCACGGAGCUUGCCCUUUCCUCUCCUCUAAGUCUCUGUUCUAUGUUGCCUUGUCUGCAAUACCUGGCUGCCCCAGCUGGGUCACGGGCAAUCUAUUCGUCUUCCUGAUUUGCUUCCUCCACGGGACCUACCUGCCUCUGACACGCGAUCUGUUCUAAUGCUUCAUUUAUUUGUUGUCUGCCUCCCUGCACUAGGGUGUAAGCUCCGUGAGGACAGGGACUUUCAUCUGUCUUGUUAAUGAUGGAUCCCUGCUGCCCAGAGCCGUCCUGGCACACGGCAGGCACUCUAUAAACGUGUGUUGAAGGAACGAAUAAACAAUACGGUUUUCCCAGCUUACUGUGGAAGUUUGGCUUAGAGAUACCUGGAUUAUACAAGGCUCUGUCUGAAGAUCCGUACAUUCCUUGGCUCUCUGGGAAUUCUGUUUUCUGUUCUUCUGGUCAAACCAACCUUCCUUCACCCUCCUGAAGGAAACUGCUGGCCCUCUUUGCACCCUAAGAAAUGGACUGUUCAGUCCCAGUGUUCCCAAUAUCCUGAGCCCUGGACCCCAGAAUUGCAAGGCACUCAUUCUUCCCUGUCUUUCUCCCCCUUUCUGUAUGCUCUCCAUGGAGUCCCAUCUGGCCUUGGCCUCUGCCUCAGCUCUUGUCAGACCAGAGCUCCUGAAUGCACAUGGAAAGACACAUGCAAAGGGGUGAUGAAUAGGGAAAAGGGGAAGCUUCCUCAGAGAUUCCAAAUAAUGAAGGUGGAGAAAUGAGCAUUCUGAGUGCUUGCCUUUCUUAGGGCAGUUAGAGCUCUUUGGAAAAAGAAGUGUGGACUCUUGGACAGACCCUACCAUAAGUGCUUGCUUCUGCCCCAGUACCUUUGCUUACCCUGUGUAUGCACACACGCACACACACUCACAUCCCUAUCUGAAAUGCCAGCCUCUAAUCCCAGCUUAACCCCAUAUUUCAUAACCCAUCUCUUCCUUCCUGCUUAUUCUUACCACAUCAUCUAACUUUGCUUUUUCUUCUUUGAAACGCUACAGAAUUAAUAGUCUAUAGCAAUCUAUGGCAGUCAAGGUCCCAGCAGGAAGCAGAUGUCACACUCAGCUGGGAUGUUUGAAGAGAUGUUUUAUAGAAGGUCUAUUUACAGAGGUAUGAACAAGAGUUAAAGGAACUGUGUUAUUCUGGGUCCCCUGAGAAGAAGACGCCAAGACAAGAUUAGACUUGCAAGGAUUUUUUAGGGAAAUCUAUGAGAAAAAUGGGGAGGGUCCCAGAUAAAGCUGGAAGAACAAUCAGCCCAUGACGCAAGUUUGACCCUAAAGGAAGGCAGAGGAACAGGAGGUUGGGAGGAAGUGUUCUAAAGGAUGACGUGGUCUAAGGAAAGUUCAGGAGUCCUCAGGCCAACGUCCGUCAACAGAGGGUCCUGUGUCUCCCGAAUGGACCUUCCCCCUUGUGUCUGCCACUCUCACUCGUUAGCUGGGAGCAGCCCGUGGGAAGCGGGGCCUCAGUGCAAACGUGGUGAUGGAGUUUACAGGACGGCAACCGGCACCCUCGGCAGCUUGUGCUCCGUGUUGUUGGAGGUCUGCAAGGUACCUCCUCGUGGCCGCUCAAGCCCACCCGUCGCACCAAGUGAAGCCACUUCUUCACACAGACUUGGGCAGCAGCUCUUCCGUGAUUCCAGUGGGCCUUUCUUCCCGAAGGGGAAUCAGAAGAUGGAGGAUAAAUUACUGCCCCGUCUUUGCAAUUGACCAUGGGGCUACAGCAAAUGCCACCCUCUCCCUUCUACACCAUCCCUUUUACAUUUCCUCCACUCAGCUGUGACUCACCAAGGCUUUGGCAGGUUUCGGUGGCUUCCCUGGUAGUGUGACUCAAGCUUUCACUUCUGAGGGAUAUGAAGCCGUGAUAAUCACUCAUCUCAGGCCAGGGGGACUGCAUGUGUCCAUUCAUACUUACAGUGAGGCACUGGAGCGCCAGGGGAGGCCACGGUGGGUCACCUGGCCUGUUAGUCUGCUCAGGCUGCUCUCAACAAAAUACCACAAACUGGGGGGCCCGAACAACACAAAUUUAUUUUCUCACAGUUCUGGAGAUUGAAAGUCCAAGAUCGAGGUUCCAGCAGGGUUGGUGUCUGCUAGAGCUCUCCCCUAGGGUUCUACACAGCCACCUUCUCGCUGUGUGAGCACAUGGCCUUGCCUUGGUGCUUGCACAUGAAGAGAAAAAGAGCUCUCCAGUGUCUCUUCUUAUAAGGACACCAAUCCUAUCAGAUCAGGACCCCAUCCUUAUGACCUCGUUACUUAAUCACCUUAAUUACUUCUCCAGAGGCCCCAGCAGAGGCUGAGAUUUUGCAGGCAGGAAGGGCAACCUCAUCCCCAGCAAAUGUAUCUAUCCUUGUGAAGAGGAACGAGAGACCCUUUCAGGAUGGAAGGUGGCCAAUGUAGUCAAUUUGCCACUAAGCGGCCAACUGGGUUCCUUGAAGAAUAGUGCCUGGAUGACUUGGUUUCUGUUGCUAACAGUUUGGACAUUCAGAAGCAGCAGUAGCUGGAUCUGCCUUGCUGGUCAUAUGGGAUUCUCCUAUACGGCCGCAGGCACAAGUUAGAGGAGGGCCUUGGUCCAGCUGUGGUGGAUGACAAGGAGGUCUGAGCUGCCUAUUUUUGCAGGUAAGUCAUGCCCUCUGGUCCUACUCAGGCUCCACCCCAGGUAUGCUAUUUCCACACCACAGUGGAUGCCUGCGGACCUAUCUGACUUUAUGACUUGGCAGGUCUGACAGAACCCAGUUCAUAAUAGUCAGUUCCGGAUCCUGGCCAAGUGCUCUGUCUCUACCAGGAUCCAGUAACGUGCCAAGAGCUAUUUCUCAGAGUGCGUAAUUCUCCGCUGCUGAUGGCGCGACUUUGCUCCAGAAUCCCAGGAGCAUGCAUUGUGAUUCUCCUGUUGGAGUUUGCCACGAGCCAAGGUCACCCCCACCCACCCUUCCCUCCUCCAACUGAUUACUCUCUGGCCCUUUCAUCUAACUUUUUUGAUCUCA